RNAcentral lists this ribosomal RNA (255 nucleotides) under uncultured bacterium. RNAcentral describes it as "partial 16S ribosomal RNA". It matches the Rfam family "Bacterial small subunit ribosomal RNA", at positions 524 to 776 of the family's 1533-position model. The record is from RNAcentral.
UACGUAGGGUCCAAGCGUUGUCCGGAAUCAUUGGGCGUAAAGAGCGUAUAGGCGGUUCGGUAAGUCGGCUGUGAAAGUCCAGGGCUCGAACCCUGGGAUGCCGGUCGAUACUGCCGGACUAGAGUUCGGAAGAGGCGAGUGGAAUUCCCCGGUGUAGCGGUGAAAUGCGCAGAUAUCGGGAGGAACACCUAUGGCGAAGGCAGCUCGCUGGGACGUUACUGACGCUGAGACGCGAAAGCGUGGGGAGCAAACAGG